GCAGCACGGGUGCUUGCACCUGGUGGCGAGUGGCGAACGGGUGAGUAAUACAUCGGAACAUGUCCUGUAGUGGGGGAUAGCCCGGCGAAAGCCGGAUUAAUACCGCAUACGAUCCAUGGAUGAAAGCGGGGGACCUUCGGGCCUCGCGCUAUAGGGUUGGCCGAUGGCUGAUUAGCUAGUUGGUGGGGUAAAGGCCUACCAAGGCGACGAUCAGUAGCUGGUCUGAGAGGACGACCAGCCACACUGGGACUGAGACACGGCCCAGACUCCUACGGGAGGCAGCAGUGGGGAAUUUUGGACAAUGGGCGAAAGCCUGAUCCAGCAAUGCCGCGUGUGUGAAGAAGGCCUUCGGGUUGUAAAGCACUUUUGUCCGGAAAGAAAUCCUUGGCCCUAAUACGGUCGGGGGAUGACGGUACCGGAAGAAUAAGCACCGGCUAACUACGUGCCAGCAGCCGCGGUAAUACGUAGGGUGCGAGCGUUAAUCGGAAUUACUGGGCGUAAAGCGUGCGCAGGCGGUUUGCUAAGACCGAUGUGAAAUCCCCGGGCUCAACCUGGGAACUGCAUUGGUGACUGGCAGGCUAGAGUAUGGCAGAGGGGGGUAGAAUUCCACGUGUAGCAGUGAAAUGCGUAGAGAUGUG
This 638-nucleotide ribosomal RNA is filed under the name Burkholderia sp. CSR2. RNAcentral describes it as "bacterial SSU rRNA". It matches the Rfam family "Bacterial small subunit ribosomal RNA", at positions 66 to 700 of the family's 1533-position model. Lineage: Bacteria; Pseudomonadati; Pseudomonadota; Betaproteobacteria; Burkholderiales; Burkholderiaceae. The record is from RNAcentral.